Molecule: transfer RNA, 73 nt
Filed under: Vicugna pacos (alpaca)
Lineage: Eukaryota; Metazoa; Chordata; Mammalia; Artiodactyla; Camelidae
Also listed under: 1 other name
Rfam family: tRNA
About the family: Transfer RNA (tRNA) molecules are approximately 80 nucleotides in length. Their secondary structure includes four short double-helical elements and three loops (D, anti-codon, and T loops). Further hydrogen bonds mediate the characteristic L-shaped molecular structure. tRNAs have two regions of fundamental functional importance: the anti-codon, which is responsible for specific mRNA codon recognition, and the 3' end, to which the tRNAs corresponding amino acid is attached (by aminoacyl-tRNA synthetases). tRNAs cope with the degeneracy of the genetic code in two manners: having more than one tRNA (with a specific anti-codon) for a particular amino acid; and 'wobble' base-pairing, i.e. permitting non-standard base-pairing at the 3rd anti-codon position.
Source: Rfam by way of RNAcentral
GUGGGUGUAGCUCAAGUGGUAGAGUGCAUGCUUAGCAUGCACAAGGUCCUGGGCUCAAUCCCCAGCACCUCCA